This 506-nucleotide ribosomal RNA is filed under the name uncultured bacterium. Its description in RNAcentral is "partial 16S ribosomal RNA". It matches the Rfam family "Bacterial small subunit ribosomal RNA", at positions 28 to 523 of the family's 1533-position model. The record is from RNAcentral.
GAUGAACGCUAGCGAUAGGCUUAACACGUGCAAGUCGAGGGGCAGCAUGGUCUUAGCUUGCUAAGACUGAUGGCGACCGGCGCACGGGUGCGUAACGCGUAUGCAACUUGCCUCACAGAGGGGGAUAACCCGUCGAAAGACGGACUAAUACCGCGUACACUUGGAGGGAGGCAUCUCCCAUCAAGGAAAAGAAAUUCGCUGUGAGAUAGGCACGCGUCCCAUUAGCUAGUUGGUGAGGUAACGGCUCACCAAGGCAACGAUGGGUAGGGGAACUGAGAGGUUGAACCCCCACACGGGUACUGAGACACGGACCAGACUCCUACGGGAGGCAGCAGUGAGGAAUAUUGGUCAAUGGGCGAGAGCCUGAACCAGCCAAGUCGCGUGAAGGAUGACUGUCUUAUGGAUUGUAAACUUCUUUUGUAGGGGAAUAAAGAACGGUACGUGUACCGUAGUGAAUGUACCCUACGAAUAAGCAUCGGCUAACUCCGUGCCAGCCGCCGCGGUAA